GAUGAACGCUGGCGGCGUGCCUAAUACAUGCAAGUCGAGCGAACGGACGAGAAGCUUUCUUCUCUGAUGUUAGCGGCGGACGGGUGAGUAACACGUGGAUAACCUACCUAUAAGACGGGGAUAACUUCGGGAAACCGGAGCUAAUACCGGAUAAUAUUUUGAACCGCAUGGUUCAAAAGUGAAAGACGGUCUUGCUGUCACUUAUAGAUGGAUCCGCGCUGCAUUAGCUAGUUGGUAAGGUAACGGCUUACCAAGGCAACGAUGCAUAGCCGACCUGAGAGGGUGAUCGGCCACACUGGAACUGAGACACGGUCCAGACUCCUACGGGAGGCAGCAGUAGGGAAUCUUCCGCAAUGGGCGAAAGCCUGACGGAGCAACGCCGCGUGAGUGAUGAAGGUCUUCGGAUCGUAAAACUCUGUUAUUAGGGAAGAACAUAUGUGUAAGUAACUGUGCACAUCUUGACGGUACCUAAUCAGAAAGCCACGGCUAACUACGUG
RNAcentral lists this ribosomal RNA (497 nucleotides) under uncultured bacterium. Its description in RNAcentral is "partial 16S ribosomal RNA". It matches the Rfam family "Bacterial small subunit ribosomal RNA", at positions 28 to 507 of the family's 1533-position model. The record is from RNAcentral.